RNAcentral lists this ribosomal RNA (429 nucleotides) under Pseudomonadota bacterium. RNAcentral's name for it is "Proteobacteria bacterium partial 16S ribosomal RNA". It matches the Rfam family "Bacterial small subunit ribosomal RNA", at positions 355 to 776 of the family's 1533-position model. The record is from RNAcentral. Lineage: Bacteria; Pseudomonadati; Pseudomonadota.
UGGGGAAUAUUGGGCAAUGGGCGAAAGCCUGAUCCAGCCAUGCCGCGUGUGUGAAGAAGGUCUUCGGAUUGUAAAGCACUUUAAGUUGGGAGGAAGGGCAGUAAGCGAAUACCUUGCUGUUUUGACGUUACCGACAGAAUAAGCACCGGCUAACUCUGUGCCAGCAGCCGCGGUAAUACAGAGGGUGCAAGCGUUAAUCGGAAUUACUGGGCGUAAAGCGCGCGUAGGUGGUUCGUUAAGUUGAAUGUGAAAGCCCCGGGCUCAACCUGGGAACUGCAUCCAAAACUGGCGAGCUAGAGUAGGGCAGAGGGUGGUGGAAUUUCCUGUGUAGCGGUGAAAUGCGUAGAUAUAGGAAGGAACACCAGUGGCGAAGGCGACCACCUGGGCUCAUACUGACACUGAGGUGCGAAAGCGUGGGGAGCAAACAGG